This 409-nucleotide ribosomal RNA is filed under the name Bacillota bacterium. RNAcentral's name for it is "Firmicutes bacterium partial 16S ribosomal RNA". It matches the Rfam family "Bacterial small subunit ribosomal RNA", at positions 355 to 776 of the family's 1533-position model. The record is from RNAcentral. Lineage: Bacteria; Bacillati; Bacillota.
UGGGGAAUAUUGCACAAUGGGCGAAAGCCUGAUGCAGCGACGCCGCGUGAGGGAUGACGGCCUUCGGGUUGUAAACCUCUUUCAGCAGGGACGAAGCGCAAGUGACGGUACCUGCAGAAGAAGCACCGGCUGACUACGUGCCAGCAGCCGCGGUAAUACGUAGGGUGCAAGCGUUGUCCGGAAUUACUGGGCGUAAAGAGUUCGUAGGCGGUUUGUCGCGUCGUUUGUGAAAACCAGCAGCUCAACUGCUGGCUUGCAGGCGAUACGGGCAGACUUGAGUACUGCAGGGGAGACUGGAAUUCCUGGUGUAGCGGUGAAAUGCGCAGAUAUCAGGAGGAACACCGGUGGCGAAGGCGGGUCUCUGGGCAGUAACUGACGCUGAGGAACGAAAGCGUGGGUAGCGAACAGG